This 695-nucleotide ribosomal RNA is filed under the name uncultured fungus. RNAcentral describes it as "eukaryotic LSU rRNA". The stretch from base 188 to 341 matches the Rfam family "5.8S ribosomal RNA". The record is from RNAcentral. Lineage: Eukaryota; Fungi.
UUAUCGUAUCAACCGAGACGCAAGGGCUGUCGCCGACCGCAAGGUUGUGCACGCCCGAGCGCUCUCACCCUUAUCCACUUUACACUUGUGCAUCACCGCGUGGUGCCUCCUUUUCAAAGGGGCUCACGUUUUCCAUACAAACACCCCCGAGUUUAGAAUGUCUUUGCGGAUCACACGCAAUCAAUACAACUUUCAACAAUGGAUCUCUUGGCUCUCGCAUCGAUGAAGAACGCAGCGAAAUGCGAUACGUAAUGUGAAUUGCAGAAUUCAGUGAAUCAUCGAAUCUUUGAACGCACCUUGCGCCCCUUGGCAUUCCGAGGGGCACACCCGUUUGAGUGUCGUGACAUCCUCAAACCUUCUCGGUUUGUUGACCGAAGAAGGGUUUGGACUUUGGAGGCAUUAAUGCUGGCUUUAUUUUGAAGCCAGCUCCUCUUAAAUGGAUUAGUGGGGUCCCCUUUGCGGCUCCCUUGGCGUGAUAAGAUGCUUCUACGUCUUGGGACAGGCUCUUGCGACCGCGCUUCUAACCGUCUCAUGAGAGACAUGGACAGAAACCUUGACCUCAAAUCGGGUGAGACUACCCGCUGAACUUAAGCAUAUCAAUAAGCGGAGGAAAAGAAACUAACGAGGAUUCCCCUAGUAACUGCGAGUGAAGCGGGAAAAGCUCAAAUUUAAAAUCUGGUGGUCUUUGGCCAUCC